ACGCUCGACACCUACGGGACGCAGCAGUAGGGAAUCUUCCACAAUGGGCGCAAGCCUGAUGGAGCAACACCGCGUGAGUGAAGAAGGGUUUCGGCUCGUAAAGCUCUGUUGUUGGAGAAGAACGUGCGUGAGAGUAACUGUUCACGCAGUGACGGUAUCCAACCAGAAAGUCACGGCUAACUACGUGCCAACAGCCGCGGUAAUCUGAGCGGGCUGGCAAGGC
RNAcentral lists this ribosomal RNA (223 nucleotides) under uncultured bacterium. Its description in RNAcentral is "partial 16S ribosomal RNA". It matches the Rfam family "Bacterial small subunit ribosomal RNA", at positions 326 to 539 of the family's 1533-position model. The record is from RNAcentral.